UGAGGGUAUGUUAGCAUGUGCAUGUGGAAGUCAGGAGACAACUCUGGAGUCAGCUCUGACCUUAACACUUGUUACAGGAAUCAAACUCAUUAGCAGCAAAUGUGUUUACCCAGUUAAUCAUCUUGACAGCUCCUUACUAGCAAGUUCGAACAGUGUUGGAUUUAGAAGGACUUUGCCUUGGGAACGCUCUAUAACUGAGGAAAUUUGUUUCUGUUGUUUGGAACCACUGCUCUGUCUGUAGUAAUAUCUUUGUUACUGUGAACAUCUGUUUUUAACCCUGGCUAUUGAGACAUCCUCAGGGAAAAGAGACGACAUCCUUUCAGCCCCCACUGCACCAGUUGUUUUCCUUCUGACCUGCAUUCUGCAUUCCCUAGCUCGCCAGCUGCUGUAUUGCAACUACAUUUCUUUGGGAUUGUCAGUUUGAAAAAGGAGGAAUGGCAUGAUUAGAAAAAUGUUUGCUUUUUCUGUUGUGCUGGUAGUGGAAGUUCUUCCUGUGUAAUGAAAACACUUGUGUUUUUUUUUUUUUUUUAACUAUUGUGAAAUUACUUGCAUUAGAAUCAUGAGAUAAGUUUUCAGAAAACAUAUGGUUUACCUUGUUCAAGAGUUCUGCACAAUUUGUUUCUUUUAUUUAGUAGUCUUUAUAUAGCAAUAUUUUAUGUGUUUAUAUUGUAUGAGUCUUUUGCCAGCAUGUAUAUGUGUACAUGAGGUGUGUGCCUGGCACUCACAGAGGCUAGAAGAGAGCGGUGAAUCUCCUGGAAAGGGAGCGGUGGGUGCUUGGGAGCUACCAUGUGAGUCCUAGGAGCUCUUAGCACCAGCACAAUUCUUUAGCCCCUUACUCUUUUUUAUACGAUGCCAUUGAUCAAAAAGGCUGUUGUCAGAACUUUCUGGGUUACGCUCCAUACAUUCACUGAUCGUCUAGUUGGAAUUUUUUUUCCUUGAAGAAAUAGAUUGCUUUAAAAGUCUCUAUCAUGAAGAAUAUAACCACGGGGAUCAGGCUAUCUAAAGAGGAAUGGAUAAGUUGGCUGUAUUGACUUACUCGAAGAUCUUAAUAAAGUUCCAGUGCCCUAUUCCACAGCUUCUAAUUUCUCAAGGCUAAAAGGAAGGCUGAGAAUAGUUUUUAGCAUUUCAAUGCACAAAGGAGUAAAAUACUCAGAUCUUUUCUUUUAUUAAGGUUAAUGUUUUUCGUCCCUGUCCAUUUGUGUGCCCCUAGUAUCUUAGCAGACUGUCUCCUUGGCAGGAGUGCAUAUGCAUUUUGCACCACACUGAUUCUGCAGAGCAGAAUCCUUUUGGUACCAGAUCGUCUCUGAUGUUAUAUUCAUUUCAGCUUCUCUGACACUUUAGCUUACUGAAUGGUGUUGGAAUAUCUUAUUUUCUGGUACAAAUUUGAAAACAUUUAUACCAAAUAUCUCAUUUGGUAUAAUAAACCAUUGCUUUUGAUACUGGCCUAAAAGAAUUUCUACAGUUUUCUUUCAAGAAAGAAGCAAGGAAUACAGAGAAAUAGCUUGUUUAACCUCAAGACUUCACAUAACUAUUGCUGUAUUUUAUUUUAGGAUUGUGAAAAAGCAUUUGAAGGCAGGUUUAAGGAGACAGACUUUUUUAUCUGAAGCCAAAGCAGACAAAAAGAAAAGAAACUUGCAAAUGGAAAAAAAAGAAAUUAACAAAUGGAGGCAAUUCGAGUGUGAGCUUCAACGAUGAAACUAUAUAGAUUGACUUAAGAGUUUGGGGGAGCACAGGUUAGAGCAGUUGUCCACUGUAGUUGAACCCCUAAAUAAAUAAAUAAAUACC
This 1785-nucleotide long non-coding RNA is filed under the name Mus musculus (house mouse). RNAcentral's name for it is "long non-coding RNA chr1:172180742-172182527". Lineage: Eukaryota; Metazoa; Chordata; Mammalia; Rodentia; Muridae. The record is from RNAcentral.